Molecule: non-coding RNA, 77 nt
Organism: Podarcis lilfordi (Lilford's wall lizard)
Lineage: Eukaryota; Metazoa; Chordata; Lepidosauria; Squamata; Lacertidae
Source: the annotation of a GenBank genome assembly
CCUGGAAGGAAAGCUCAGUGUUAGAGCAUCUGCUUUGCAUGCAAAUGGUCCCAGGUUCAAUCCUGAAGCCUCCAGGA